UGGACUUCAUUGAGGAAAAUAAAUCAUCUUCAUCUGAUGAAUGUCCGACUUGCUCCAGCCUCCAACAUCUGGUCAAGGUGUUGUCUGACAUAGACUAGACCUGUAGAAUGACAAACAACAUUUCUGACAAUUAAGUAUUGAGCUGCCAUCAAGAGUGCAUCAUAACACAGAAAUAGCUAUAAAUAGCAAUAGACAGACCUACAGUAUACAGAAUUAUAGCAUUAUUUUCUAUUUCUACAUGCAUCACAAUUCAUAAUCCUCAAUUCUUGCUAACCGAGACCCCUGAGCAUGAACAUGAAAGACCUGCACGUUGCAAAGCCACCACUUAUCUGACUAAACAUCGUGAUAAAUUCCAGAUAAAGACAUACACAUUGACUUGUCCAACUGUCUGACAACGAUGGUGUGCGCAUUCAUGUUGCUCUGUGUGGUGUAGUGAAGCUUCAGAGUAACGACAAGCAGGAUGAUAUUAACACUCUUUACUGAGAACUGUCAGCAGCAUGAAAGUACGUGACUAGUAGCAUGGAGGUUCACUCUUCUUCUGCCCUAUGUACGUAAACUAGCUACCAUUCAUUACGGAACAGUGCCUCCUAGUGGUAGCACAAUAUAGAACAGUAUUACAGAACACAACAUCUCCUCUUUCUGUAAAAGAAUACUCUUACUUACUUCGGCAAUAAAAUAAAAGAGCUAAAUAUGAUCCAGCAUAGGAUGACAAUUCAAAAGUGGUAACGGGUCAUUCCUGCCAAUUAUCAAGCGCACAAAGCAUAGUUUAGUGUUAACUACAUUGGCAUUAGGGCUGAACGAUUAAUUGCAUUUGCGAUUUAAUCGCGAUAUGGUGGAACACGAUUUUCUAACCGCAACGUUCGCGAUUAAAAAACGUGGUCAAAAAAAAAUAAAAAAUUAUAAUUUUUUUUUUUUUUUUAAGAUGGUACAUUUUGCACACAGUGUUAAAAAAGUGCAUGCCUAGUGUUUAUACUUAAAAUUACUUUUUUUAAAUUACUUAAAUGCACAGUGGCAAAGCCACCGAUUUGUUGUUCUUGUUUCUGUAAUGAGCAGUUAAAUAAAAAUGUAAAAUGUGGGAAAGAAUAUUUUACACUAAAUGUAUCUAAUAUUGUGUUGUUCAUAUUUAAAUCAUUCAUUACGUUUUGUUGGGGGAAAAAAGAGGAAAAAAAAAAAUCGCAUAUUAAAUCGCAAUCGCAAUAUUUUGGUAAAAAAAUCGCAAUUAGAUUAUUUUCCCAAAUCGUUCAGCCCUAAUUGGCA
Long non-coding RNA from Clupea harengus (Atlantic herring), 1257 nucleotides. The record is from Ensembl. NCBI's taxonomy places the organism in Eukaryota, Metazoa, Chordata, Actinopteri, Clupeiformes, Clupeidae.